AGAAUCAACGCUGGCGGCGUGCCUAACACAUGCAAGUCGCACGAGAAAGGGGAGCAAUCCCUGAGUACAGUGGCGCACGGGUGAGUAACACGUGAAUGAUCUACCUCCGAGUGGGGAAUAACUGAGAGAAAUCUUAGCUAAUACCGCACAAUACCCACGGGUCAAAGCAGUAAUGCGCUUGGAGAGGAGUUCGCGGCAGAUUAGUUAGUUGGCGGGGUAAUGGCCCACCAAGACGAUGAUCUGUA
Molecule: ribosomal RNA, 245 nt
Filed under: uncultured bacterium
Lineage: Bacteria
Description: partial small subunit ribosomal RNA
Rfam family: Bacterial small subunit ribosomal RNA
Source: RNAcentral